CGACUGAGCCACCCAGGCGCCCCUCCUCAUGUUAUUAAAGAACUAUUCACUGUUUUUUAAACCCGAAUGUUCUAUCAGAUCUAAUCGAGUGCCUUGUAAUAGACAGCUCCAGGAUGCGUAUUACAUAGUUGGGAGCUCAUUAAAUAAAAUGGUGUUUAUGAGAUGUAGUUCCUUUUCCUAGUUAGGAUUCUGUGGGUUUGGGUUCAUAGUAGACUGAUAGUGUGAACCUGGACAUCCUCUGAAGGGAUCUGCUUUGCAGAAGAGGUACGGUUGCAGGAAGGAGAUGCCCAUCACGGGGAUGAAAAAUGAAACUAGACUCCCAGGUGCCAGGAGUCAGAUGGACUCAAGGUCCGAGGUGAGUGGAAGUGAGGUUUGACAAUACAUUCUAAUGUGAGUGAAUUUAUUGGAGAAGACAGAAGAGCAAGAUUUUUUGGGGGAAAAAAUCUUAGAGCAAGAAGACAUAAAAAAGAAAUGGGUGAGGAAUAGGGAGUGGGAGGGUAAAAAUGAAAGGUUUUAAGUUUUUAAACUGUUCUGAAACUUUCUGUGUGCAUUGACUAGUUAAUAGCAGAGGCUUUGUUAGAAAAUAAAUUAACGAGUUUUCCUUUUCAUUUCCGGUGAAUACAUCAAAAUAUCACCAGAUGCUGUUAUUUGACUCACAUCCCGUGCCUUUCCAAAGUUACGCCCAGGAUCCAUGCAGUGCUUGCUUCUUUAGAUGGCUUUAUGAUCGUUAACUUGUUUAAAUCAGAUUCCUGGAAGGCGCACACAGUGUUUAUUACUGGAUGUGUUUUAUGGAUUAGGAAACAAAUCAUUUGUGUAGCACAGGCCACAAAUCUGGGCUGAGGCCAUGAGAUCUCACUGCUUUCCAUAUCUACUGGUUUUAAUUUUUAUCUGGAAAUUCUCUAUUUUCUAACUGCUUUUAAAAAUGACUGAACCUUAAAUUUUAAAGUUGAGUCAGCACCCGUAUAAUUGAUUUUAGACUAUAUUUCAUGGAAAGGGCCUUAGAUUUUGGUCUGUUUAUUUCUUUGAAAGGGACUGCAUGUGAUUUGCUGCUAGUCAUUUCUUGACUCAAAUAUCUGUGACAUAAUCUUCGUAACUAAAUCUGUGAAACUGGUUUGAAUUCUUUAGACUUGAUGGUUUGAGGCUGGGGUUGGCAGUCUGUAUGACAGGAGUUCUGGGGGUGGCCCUUGGGCUAGUUUUCACCAAGCAGCCGUGGGAGAUGGGAGGUGCUGCUGUAUGAUCCUGUGCUACCCCUCCCCCGGACCCUAGGACCUUUUAAAAGCCUGCAGUGCUUUAGGGAGUUUAAGACACUUAAUACUUUUUCUCAUAUUUAAUCACAUUGACACAGGGCAACAUCUUUCUUUGUCCUUCCCACAUCUCUUGAGUUUCCUUUCUUCCAACUUGUGUCAUUUCUGUUUCUUUUCACAGCCAGCAAGGCAUCUAGCUUCUUAGGCUGGCUUCUGGUUGCCCCCCCCGCCCCCGGAUUUCCUUCAUGAUCCUGCCUCUACAUUUUUCUGUUCUUCCGUGUCCCGUCGGUUCUCGCUUUGUGCUAUGGCUGAUUUGAUUUAGUUUGGUGGAAAGGGCAUUAAGGUAGAGCAAUGUUAAUAACUGUAAGAAUGAUUAAUGGGUACUUGCCUGAUUGGAGACUGUGCUAAGUGCUUCAUAUUCUUUCCACUGGAUGCUAGUUCCUACGAGCUACAGAACCUUGGGAGAGUGUCCAGCUCUGGGCCAUAGGCUGCUCAUCUGGAAAAUGGGGGACUUGGUGGAGUAAGUAAAGUGUUUCUGGCCCUAAAAUGCUGUGAUUUGAGUUUAUUCACGUUGUGGUAUGAUUGUCAGUCCUCGUGAGACUUGAGCUUUUUGAAAGGUACCUGUUCAUCGAGACUGGGGUCCCAAUGUAGGGGUGUUGCUUCUCAGCCCCAGGAUGCGGAGACCCAGGACUCCUUAUUUUAGACUACCUUGCAGUGUGGCUGGCUUUCUUUUUCCUUCAGAAGCUUAGGGAUGUGUCUCAAGGGCACCCUUCUCCAUACUUGUGCUGUCUACAUCAGGACACCUGAAAACUGAACCUGAACACUGCACUUUGGAAAGGUUGUUGACCCCAAUUUGGAAGAUUUUGCUGCUUUUCAUCUCCGUGUUGGAGGCCCUGGGCUUCUAAAGACAUCCCUUCCUUGAUGGUUCCCUAGAGGAGUUUCUGGGAACCUGCUUAAUUCUUCUGUUAAUUCUUGAACAGCUCGUAAAAAAAUGCUACCUCAGAUCCUUCUCUUGCAAAGUUGUACAUGGUGUGUGACCUUGAGUGCUUGUUUCCUACUUCUAGGGGAAUUUUUGUUAGUGCUCAGUCUCUCGGUCGUGUUCAUAAUGACGCCAAGCUACUUAUCUGUUCAUUGUCAAGGCCACUGACAGUUGUUUUGCUUUCUGCUUUUACACUGAUGCAUCAUGCAUUCAUUGCACGUACUGUCCAUUUUCUAAAAGUCUAUGAUUAUCUUUUUUGUUUCUUUAUGUUUUCAGAGAGAUUAAUCAUCGCUAUGCUAGGAACACUUACUUAAUCAGCUUUGUCUCUAGUGUUGCUCAUAUUCCUUCCGCUUUUCCGAUAUUUUUUUUUUUUAGUUUUUCAAAAUUGUAUAAUACCUAAUUCUUACAGGCUCUAUCCCAAAAGAAUUUGUGAUGACUCUUCCAUUUUUAGGGAUUAUUGCCUGAAAAUGCAGGUAUUUGAUAGCAACAAGCGAAAAAUAUUUUUAAAUAGAAUGCCAUAUAUAGCCUUUCUUUAGGUUUUAUCUUUGAAAUCUGUGGUCUGUUUUAUGCCUUUUAGUUAGUUUGUGAACAGUCACUGUGCUUGCUGUGUUUGUAAGCUUCUCCUUUUUUCGAGACCAAAGAUAUCAAAAUUGUACUUUUCUCUCACUCUUAAAGGGUUCAAAAUUAAGAUUCCUUCUGCUACUAAUUUAAUUCUUCUGAAAAGGUACAUAGGAGUUUGCUCUUUGCCAUUUAUCUUCGUCACUGUGUAACUAGCAGUUUGGAACAGGACUUGAUAGGUUUAAUGAAUCAGUACCUUAUUUAGUCAUUUCCUGUCAUCUACAGAAUAUUUUUCAGUAGCAGAUCAUUUGCGAUUGUAAACAACAGAAAUAUCCCAACAACAGAUUUGGUUUAAAAAGAUUUUAUCCGUGUAAGAAAUCAUGCCUUAUCGUAGCUGAAGAACAUGUGCUCCUGUGUGUGUGUGUGUGUGUGUGUGUGUUGUGGGGGAGGGUGAUGGUGUGAUAUCCUGGCUUAUCCUGGGCUCGUUCUGUGUCUGGUGGUCCCAGCCCCUUAACCCAGGAAGGGCCCAGCAUUGUGGGAGGACGUUGGCAGUCAGACUCUGAGAGUGACUGGAAACGCCCUUCUUCUUACUGCAUUUUGUUCUUGUUUUUGCAGAGUACUAGUUGUUGGAAAACACUGAAUUGCAAUUGUAUAAAUAUACGUAGUACUUGCUAAACCGUCGUCUUGGCUCAUUGUGCUCUUUUCGAGUGAAGGGAUCUAAGCUCCGGAAAGAUUACUUACUCAUCAGGAACAGGUCAGGUCCUGGACAUUCCUGGUAAAGUCCAGUGUAUUUUGGAUUGCAGCACUUUCUGUGUUACUUUUCAUGCAUUGGAAUCCUCCUAAUCCUGAACCUAGACUCUAGGAGCAGACCCAAGUAAAUAUGUCCUCGCUGGGCUAAACCAAAGAAAACAAGCGAUGCUUAAAGAUGUCUGGCACCUCUCGGCAAGUUUUGUGUGUUGCGAGCACACCAUGGCCCUGGGUAUCCUGAUGAUCCAUUUUGGGCCAUUCCUCUCUCCUUGUUCAUUCUCUUUUCUUUCUGUGUUCUUUACUCUUUCCACUUCUCCCCCCCACCCCUUUUUUUUUCUUUUUUCCAUUUUGGGUUCUUUUUUCCUCUGUUCUAUGUUUCCCUUUGCCAUUCCUGCUAUGGAUAGCCUAGUAACACCCUGAAGUUAUUGCAGGCAUUUUUUUUUUUUUUUAGCCUGACUAAUGGCAGCCCAGAGCUAAAUACAGGUUUUCCUCUGAUAAGAUUCUGUGCUGGUGCAAACUAUCUCUAAAGAGUUUAAUGUUUAUAUCGCAUAUUCCAUGUUGAAUGGAAAGUAUGAUGUGAAAUAUAUUUCACAUGGAUGUUUAAGUUUUGUGCCUAAAGGACAUUCUGCCAACAUUUAGGUAAUAGUAAUCACAUAGAUAAUGAACUUCAGGAUUCUUUUUUAUUUAUGAAAUUUCU
This is a non-coding RNA of Leptonychotes weddellii (Weddell seal), 4225 nucleotides long. Lineage: Eukaryota; Metazoa; Chordata; Mammalia; Carnivora; Phocidae. The record is from RefSeq and is a predicted model, not a curated record.